Molecule: ribosomal RNA, 372 nt
Filed under: uncultured bacterium
Lineage: Bacteria
Description: bacterial SSU rRNA
Rfam family: Bacterial small subunit ribosomal RNA
Source: RNAcentral
GUAAUCUGCCUUCUACAGAGGGAUAGCCCAGAGAAAUUUGGAUUAAUACCUCAUAGUAUUACCGAAUCGCAUGAUUCGGUAAUUAAAGCUCCGGCGGUACAAGAUGAACAUGCGUGACAUUAGCUAGUUGGUAAGGUAAUGGCUUACCAAGGCCACGAUGUCUAGGGGUUCUGAGAGGAUGAUCCCCCACACUGGUACUGAGACACGGACCAGACUCCUACGGGAGGCAGCAGUGAGGAAUAUUGGUCAAUGGACGCAAGUCUGAACCAGCCCAUCCCGCGUGAAGGAUGGCUGCCCUAUGGGUUGUAAACUUCUUUUAUAUGCAAAUAAACCUACUUUCGUGAAAGUAGCUGAAGGUACCAUAUGAAUAAA